CUACACGACCGUACCGCAAACCGACACUGGUGCGCGAGAUGAGUAUUCUAAGGCGCUUGAGAGAACUCAGGAGAAGGAACUCGGCAAAUUGACACCGUAACUUCGGAAGAAGGUGUGCCUUUAGUAGGUGAACCUGUACAAGGGGAGCCCAAUGAGGUUGCAAAAAAUCGGUGGCUGCGACUGUUUAAUAAAAACACAGCACUCUGCAAACACGAAAGUGGACGUAUAGGGUGUGACGCCUGCCCGGUGCUGGAAGAUUAAAUGAUGGGGUGCAAGCUCUUGAUUGAAGUCCCAGUAAACGGCGGCCGUAACUAUAACGGUCCUAAGGUAGCGAAAUUCCUUGUCGGGUAAGUUCCGACCUGCACGAAUGGCGUAACGAUGGCCACACUGUCUCCUCCUGAGACUCAGCGAAGUUGAAAUGUUUGUGAUGAUGCAAUCUCCCCGCGGAAAGACGGAAAGACCCCAUGAACCUUUACUGUAGCUUUGUAUUGGACUUUGAACAGAUCUGUGUAGGAUAGGUGGGAGGCUUUGAAGUGUGGUCGCUAGAUCGCAUGGAGCCAACGUUGAAAUACCACCCUGGUGUGUUUGAGGUUCUAACCUAGGCCCGUAAUCCGGGUCGGGGACAGUGCAUGGUAGGCAGUUUGACUGGGGCGGUCUCCUCCCAAAGCGUAACGGAGGAGUUCGAAGGUACGCUAGGUACGGUCGGACAUCGUGCUAAUAGUGCAAUGGCAUAAGCGUGCUUAACUGCGAGACUGACAAGUCGAGCAGAUGCGAAAGCAGGACAUAGUGAUCCGGUGGUUCUGUAUGGAAGGGCCAUCGCUCAACGGAUAAAAGGUACUCUGGGGAUAACAGGCUGAUACCGCCCAAGAGUUCAUAUCGACGGCGGUGUUUGGCACCUCGAUGUCGGCUCAUCUCAUCCUGGGGCUGUAGCCGGUCCCAAGGGUAUGGCUGUUCGCCAUUUAAAGAGGUACGUGAGCUGGGUUUAAAACGUCGUGAGACAGUUUGGUCCCUAUCUUCCGUGGGCGCUGCAGAUUUGAGGAAGCCUGCACCUAGUACGAGAGGACCGGAGUGGACACACCUCUGGUGUAUCGGUUGUCACGCCAGUGGCAUUGCCGAGUAGCUAUGUGUGGAAGAGAUAACCGCUGAAAGCAUCUAAGCGGGAAACUCGUUUCAAGAUGAGAUCUGCCGGGGCCUUGAGCCCCCUAAAGAGUCGUUCAAGACCAGGACGUUGAUAGGUCGGGUGUGGAAGCGCAGUAAUGCGUUAAGCUAACCGAUACUAAUUGCUCGUGCGGCUUGACCA
Molecule: ribosomal RNA, 1300 nt
Filed under: metagenome
Description: bacterial LSU rRNA
Rfam family: Bacterial large subunit ribosomal RNA
Source: RNAcentral